UAGGGUUGUCUGCCUCGGGACGGUUGGGCCUUGGGCCACAAGGUUGGCCGAAGCCUGACUGUGUUGCUCCUCUCUCUCUCUCAUACUCCUCUCUACAAUUCCAUCAUUACAGAAAAAAUAGCAAAGAAUAGGACAAGAAAGGAAGGGUUAGGUAUAGAAUUAGACAUGAUGAUAUUUUUCUUGGACUCACAAAAAAGAGCUUGACCCAAGAAAAUGGAAGUUGCAUGAAGACAAGAUUUAAAUUCUUACUCAUUUGAAUUAAUUCAAAUGGUUUGAAGUAUGACAAGGUUCUAUAGGAGUCCAAAAAUGUAGAGAAUUUAGGUGGAGCUU
RNAcentral lists this long non-coding RNA (330 nucleotides) under Hordeum vulgare. RNAcentral's name for it is "long non-coding RNA (HVUL_LNC015498)". The record is from RNAcentral. Lineage: Eukaryota; Viridiplantae; Streptophyta; Magnoliopsida; Poales; Poaceae.